CUGCAAUGAGACAAUAUAUUAUGUUGCACCUGUUCUGUCUCUCAACUAUGUUGAUGUGUGUGUGUGUGUGUGUGUGUGUAGCGAGAGAGACAGAGAGCGAGAGAGAGAGAUGUACGAAUUAAAAACAAUGUAGAGAAUAUCUGUUUUGGAUUUCUAGAUGAUACCUGGUAACUUAAUUCCUACGGUCAGAGAACUCAGGCUGGAGUAGAAAGUGAUAUGGUUGGCAUAUAUGUUGUUGACAUUUAAUAUCACCCGCCAAUACCAGUUCUCUUUCCCCAACUCAGGUUUUGGGUCACGGCCCCAGCCUCCAUACUUAUGGUUAACAGUAGAUUCUCCCUUGGA
Long non-coding RNA from Syngnathus acus (greater pipefish), 342 nucleotides. RefSeq lists it as uncharacterized. NCBI's taxonomy places the organism in Eukaryota, Metazoa, Chordata, Actinopteri, Syngnathiformes, Syngnathidae. The transcript is spliced from 2 exons. The record is from RefSeq and is a predicted model, not a curated record.